CGGUGUUCAACUGGCGUGUCCGCGGGACGUCCUGCCGGUGGGCUUAGCCCGCAAGGGCGGCCCCAACUUCAAAUCCCAUCGCGGUGCUCUUCACUGAGUGUCGAGGUGGGCCGGCACGUUUACUUUGAACAAAUUAGAGUGCUUAAAGCAGGCUAAAACUUCGCCUGAAUACUGUGUGCAUGGAAUAAUGGAAUAGGACCUCGGUUCUAUUUUGUUGGUUUUCGGAACCCCCGAGGUAAUGAUUAAUAGGAACGGAUGGGGGCAUUCGUAUUGCGACGUUAGAGGUGAAAUUCUUGGAUCGUCGCAAGACGGACAGAAGCGAAAGCAUUUGCCAAAAACGCUUUCAUUGAUCAAGAACGAAAGUUAGAGGUUCGAAGGCGGUCAGAUACCGCCCUAGUUCUAACCAUAAACGAUGCCAGCUAGCGAUCCGUCGACGUUCCUCCGAUGACUCGACGGGCAGCUUCCGGGAAACCAAAGCUUUUGGGUUCCGGGGGAAGUAUGGUUGCAAAGCUGAAACUUAAAGGAAUUGACGGAAGGGCACCACCAGGAGUGGAGCCUGCGGCUUAAUUUGACUCAACACGGGAAACCUCACCAGGCCCGGACACCGGAAGGAUUGACAGAUUGAGAGCUCUUUCUUGAUUCGGUGGGUGGUGGUGCAUGGCCGUUCUUAGUUGGUGGAGCGAUUUGUCUGGUUAAUUCCGAUAACGAACGAGACUCUAGCCUGCUAACUAGGCGUAUUUUCGACAUCUCAAAGGUCCGUCGUCCCGGCCCUCGGGUCGUGGGCGUGCGCGAUUUUUACUGUCGGCGUACUAUCAAUUCUUCUUAGAGGGACAGGUGGCUUCUAGCCGCACGAGAUUGAGCAAUAACAGGUCUGUGAUG
RNAcentral lists this ribosomal RNA (879 nucleotides) under uncultured eukaryote. RNAcentral describes it as "SSU rRNA". It matches the Rfam family "Eukaryotic small subunit ribosomal RNA", at positions 636 to 1469 of the family's 1831-position model. The record is from RNAcentral.